Molecule: long non-coding RNA, 5019 nt
Filed under: Triticum aestivum (bread wheat)
Lineage: Eukaryota; Viridiplantae; Streptophyta; Magnoliopsida; Poales; Poaceae
Description: long non-coding RNA (TAES_LNC008636)
Source: RNAcentral
UCAGUAAGAAAAGAGAAGAGAACAUUAAUGUUCAUUUGAAGUCCAUUUUGUUGUUUAUGAGGAACGCAAAGAGAAAGACUAGUAAGAAUGGAUGGUCAAUUUGUAUAGUCUUUGCCCUAGUGUAGUUCGGUUGGGUACUUGUGUCGUUGAUUCUGCUGUGUACCGGAUGGUUGCGUGGCUAUGUGAAAAUAAUGAGUGGACAUGUAUGUUUUGAAGCUCACUUUAUUCUGUCACGCAGUUCGCUAUAAAACUCCUUUGAGGUUCACUUGGUACUCCGAAACAAAACACCAUCAAAAGAAGCUCGCUACUCAUUACAUGCAGUGUGUUUGGUCCUCAGAUGUGGUUCAAUUUUGAGAGUGAUGUUGUUCACUUGCACAAAGCGUGGAAGUGUGAAAAAAAUUAGCGAAACAAAAAAUAGUAAUGCGGUUCGCUUCCAUGUAUGUUGAGGUUCAUUUGCACUCGUCUCUGCGGUCCACUCUGGUUCAUAAAAAAUGUUUUAAAAAAAGGAAAACAAAAACUCGUUUGAGAUAAAUUACGUACAACAAAAAAAAAUUCAUGAAGUUCGCUUGACUGUCUGAUGGAGUGCGGUUUUCCCUCCGAAGCAGUCCGUUCUUCUGUCGUUCACAAAAGCUUAUCUGAGUAAAUUUACGCCCGACAAGAAAAUCAUGAAGUUCGCUUGACUCUCUAAUGCAGUGCGGUUUUCCGUCCGAAGCAGUGCGUUCUUCUGUAUUUCAUAAAAAAUGACAACAAAAACUCACAAAAAGCUCAUCUGAGAAAAUUUACGCCCGACAAGACAAAUCAUGAAGUUCGCUCGGCUGUCAGAUGCAGUGCGGCUUUCCGUCCAAAGUAGUGCGUUCUUUUGUCGUUCAUAAAAAAAUGACAACAAAAACUCACAAAAAAGCUCAUCUAAGAAAAUUUACGCCCGAUAAGACAAAUCAUGAAGUUCGCUUGACUGUCUGAUGCAGUGCAGUUUCUAUCCGAAGCAGUGCGUUCUUCUGUCUGAUGCAGUACACACGUCGGUUUUGGUGUCGCGAAAAACAGAGUAUCCGCAUUUUAGUAAUUUUAAAACUGCUCUUAAACCGUAAGGAAUUAGAGAGCAUGUUCUACAUGAAAAAGAUGCGCCUCAUCGAUAUCUUUCCGAUGAUGUAUCAUUUGCAUCAUUUCACCGAGCGGUUUGAAAAAAUGUACGAAAAAACGGCCGUUGUCACUCGUCAUUCGCCGCACGAUUUUCAAAAUUCACUUAAAACUGUAAGGAAUCUCAAAAACAUUUCAACAUAUGAAAGUUGCGCCUCGUCCGUAGCUUUCCAACGGCGUAUAACACGCCUCGUUUCGACAAAUGGUUCAAAAACUAGAGCAAAAACAGUUCCAAAAAAUUGAUUUUUUUUGAAAAACAGAGUUCCGCGAUUUAGUAAAUUUGAAACUGCUCUUAAACCGUAACGAAUUAGAGAAAAUAAUAGAUAUGAAAAAGAUGCGCCUAGAUGAUAUCUUUUCAACGGUGUAUCAUUUGUUUCAUUCCGACGAGCGGUCUAGAAAAAAAGUGAAAAACGCUCGCUGCCACACGUCGUAUGCCGCACCAUUUUCAAAACGGCUCUUAAACCGUGAGGCUCGAAAAGUGCUCAACAUGGAAAAGUAGCGCCUAAUUCGUAGCUUUUCAACGGUAUAUUACACGCCUAGUUCCGAUAAACGGUUAAAAAACUAGAGCAAAAAAGGUACCAAAAAACAGAGCGUGUAGUUUUUUUGCGGCGAGAAGUUCACUCGCGUGAGUACUGCAGCACACUUGGUUCAAACAAUGAUGUGCACUUGCGUUGAGCGUGCAGUGCGGAAGUGUUAUCAGAAUAGUUAUUCUGCUAAUAUUAGCAGAAUAUAUAUAUAUAAGGUGUGUCUAUUCUAAUAACAUCCCUUAAGACCUUAUUCUAAUAACACUUCCUCUUAUUCUGAUAACACCAGUACGCCCACCCAAACAGAACAAAAACAAACAGCCCACCCCACCCACCUCCACCCAUGCGCACCCCACUCCCCACCUUCUCCUCGAUCCCCCACCCCACCUUCUUCUCGCACCGGCGCCUCCGAGCAAGCCACCGCCCCGGCCAUGACCCCCCCCGGGCGCGGCACCCCCCCACCUUCUCCCCACACCGCCGCCUCCCAGCCAGCCACCGUCCCGGCCACAACCUCCCAUGGCGCCGCCCCCACGCAACGCGCAGGUAGCCGACCGCCGUCGCGCCACCCUUCAGCAGGUCGCCGUCCUACCGCCUCUCCCCAUGCCGGCAGCACGCACCUGCCCACGAGCACCAUCGGUGUCAAAGCAUCGCUAUCCCCUGCCGCCCCGGUGGCCUCCUUCUAGGCCGCGACAACCGGAUCUAGCCUUCCCUGCCCCUGCAUCCUCUCGUUGCAUCGCAGUGGCCGGAUCGAAGUAGCCCCCGUAGAUCCAACGUGGAUCCACCGUCGCCGUCAGCGGCUGCUUUGGAUCUGGGGAGUCCUGCCGCCUCCGAUGCAGGUUGCCGCCGGAUGCCCCUGCCUCCUACUUCGGCGACUCGCUGCUUCAGGGAGCCCCGAUGCGCCAACCACCCCGAUGCACCAGCCUCCCCUGCUUUCUCCCCACAGACGAACAGGCAACCACGCCAUUGUUUGAGAUUGUUGCAGUUCAUUUUUUAUUUUUGGAGGAAAAUCAGUGCACUGCAGUUUGUUUUUCCCGUCGAUGAGAUUUGUGUAUUUUGUGUUCUUCUGAAGACAAAUAAAAUUGCAAAUGCAGUCCACUGUACUUUUGCUCUUGAGGUUCAUUUUACUCUCUCUUUUUUGCAGAAAAGAUAGGUGAUGCAGUCCGCCGGCCUCCUCCCACGGCGAAUUUGGGCGAUGCACGGGCUCCUACCCCUUUGGGUGUUUUGCAGGUGAAUAUUGUAAAGCCGGCCGGAAGUGCACUGCUGCUGGGUGCCCGUGGAUCGGGGGGGCUACCGUGCAGUACGCAUCAACAAUAGGCGUAGCAACCGUUCCACUCUCCUCUUGGGGUAAUUUUGGUUGUUGUUGAUGUAGUGCAACGGGCCUGUUCAUGAAGUACACUGGCUCCGCGGCGAGCAGUGGAGAGGACACGGGUGUGCAGUUCCCCGUCCCCGUAGUUGUCCCCUGAACCUGUAGAAGCCCAUCUUGUAUGUGAGCAUAUGGCUAGAAACAUUGCGGUGUGGUUUCGGUGGUCGUCCACGUGCACUUUGUUUGGGGGGCAGUACGUAUGUUCUUUGUGGAUGUGCACUUCAUUCGGGCCGAGCUUCGUGAAGCUCAGUUUGCACUCCAUCGGAUCUGGGCUCCUGAUGCGGUGGUGCGCACUGAGAUGGUCGGGGAUGCUCGAGGCUGGAUCCAGGCGUCCCGGUGCCUCGCCGGAGGAGGCAAGAAAGAGAUCCCGUCGCUGGCCGCCUAGCUUGCCGGAGGAUGAGGUCAGGAAACGGUGGCUGAGGUGGAGCAGCUCCUUCCCACCUAAUGAACAGUUCCAGCAGCAUUCCAGGCCGCAUCCACCACGGCGGCUAACCCCCCAUGCGCAUUGUUUUUGUGUUUUCUAUAGAUAAAUCUAAGUGCAAAUUGCAGCCCGCUGUUGUUAGUUAUUGAGGUUCACUUUACUCAUUUUUGCAGGAAGAAAUGUGGUGCACUUCGGUUGGACGCCGCAUUGCUUCCUCCCCCUUCUCCCCCUGCUUCCUCUGCUCGCCGGCCGGUCGAUCUCCACUUGUAGUGCACACGGGCGCCCCUUUGUAGUGCACACGAGCGAUUGUACGACACAUCUCCAAAAAUGAUGCUACAACCCGCAAGCCCUGCAUCCCCGCCUCCCUACAGUUUACCUUUUUUAGAAAGAGAAAAAACGAAGUGCGAGAUGAAGUCAACUGUGGUUUGAAUGCAAUCGGUGUGGAUGCCCUUUACCCAAAAUUGGUGGAUGAAGUUCACUGUUUUUGUGUUUUUCAGUAGAGAAAUCAAAGUAGAAAAUGCAAUCCACUAUUCUUCUUGCUCUUGGGGAUCAUUUGACGUUUUUUUGCAGGAAAAAUGGGUGGUGCAGUUCGGUUCGAUGCCCCGUUGCUCAAAGUUUUUUUUGUUGAUAGCUGCAGCUCAUUGUAAAAGAACACUGAAUGCCAUUUGGUGCAGUCUGUAAAAGAACUCUAAAUGUCAUUUGGUGCAAUUCAUUGUUAUAAAAAUGCGUGUGGUUAAACUCAGAAAGAAAGAUGUGGUUCAAUGCUCUCAACUCUUGGGGGAUCCAGCCCACAUGAAGUGCACUACUGUUGUAUCGCAGUCCAAUUCCCCCUUAAUAUACAUUGGACAUGGGAAAUAAAAAUUUGUUUCGAGAGGUUCACUUUUGUCCAACAAGUUCAGUUUUAUUGUGUGGAGAGGUUCUCUCCACUGUACUAUACAUGUCUUUUUCUUUUUUUGGAGAGGUCACUUCAUUGUACUAUGCAUUUCUUUUUGUUUAGAAAAAUAACAAAAAGAAUCGUUUGCAGUCCUCUCUCAUGACAUUGCAGUGCGCUUUCCCGUGUGAUGAAGCACACUAACAUUGAUAAUAUGGUACACUUGCGCCUAUGAAAAAAAUUAAAAAAUUAUAAGGUUCACUUCGCAAAACAUGUAGCUCCUCUAGUGUGCACUUGGGGUUCGCCGGCUAAUGAUGCAUGUCGUGCGUUUUGCCGGUGACCAUACUGCAGUCCCUCAUCGCUGACGUGAGUUGUUUUGCAGCUCACUCUUUUUUUCUUCUAGAAAUCAUUUGCAGUGCACUCAGUAAGAAAAGAGAAGAGAACAUUAAUGUUCAUUUGAAGUCCAUUUUGUUGUUUAUGAGGAACGCAAAGAGAAAGACUAGUAAGAAUGGAUGGUCAAUUUGUAUAGUUUUUGCCCUAGUGUAGUUCGGUUGGGUACUUGUGUUGUUGAUUCUGCUGUGUACCGGAUGGUUGCGUGGCUAUGUGAAAAUAAUGAGUGGACAUGUAUGUUUUGAAGCUCACUUUAUUCUGUCACGCAGUUCGCUAUAAAACUCCUUUGAGGUUCACUUGGUACUCCGAAACAAAA